UUCCGGUUGAUCCUGCCGGAGGCGACCGCUUUGGGAGUUCGAUUAAGCCAUGCGAGUCGUGAGUCUUAGGGACUCGGCAUACUGUUCAGUAACACGUGGAUAACCUGCCCUAUCGUCUGGAAUAACCUCGGGAAACUGAGAAUAAGGCCGGAUAGUUCACAAUGCCUGGAACGGUUUGUGAAUCAAGGUAGGAUGGGUCUGCGGCGUAUCAGGUUGUAGGGGGUGUAAAGGACCCCCUAGCCUUCGACGCGUACGGGUGUUGGGAGACAUAGCCCGGAGAUGGAUUCUGAGACACGAAUCCAGACCCUACGGGGUGCAGCAGGCGCGAAAACUUCACACUGCAGGAAACUGUGAUGAGGGAACUCCUAGUGCAUGCACUAUGUGUAUGUAAAUCCUACUCUUAACAAGUAGAGGGAAAGGGCUGGGAAAGACCGGUGCCAGCCGCCGCGGUAAUACCGGCAGCUCAAGUGGUCGUCGCUUUUAUUGGGCCUAAAACGUCCGUAGCCUGUUUGGUAAAUCUGUGGGUAAAUCAAUCCGCUCAACGGAUUGAAUUCUGCAGAGACUGCCAGACUAGGGACCGGGAGAGGUGUGGGGUACUCGAGGGGUAGGGGUAAAAUCCUGUCAUCCUUCGAGGACCACCAGUUGCGAAGGCGCCACACUGGAACGGAUCCGACGGUCAGGGACGAAGCCUAGGGGCACGAACCGGAUUAGAUACCCGGGUAGUCCUAGGUGUAAACGCUGUGAACUUGGUGUCGGGGGUCCGCAAGGGGUCCCCGGUGCCGGAGUGAAGAUGUUAAGUUCACUGCCUGGGGAGUACGGUCGCAGGGCUGAAACUUAAAGGAAUUGGCGGGGCAGCAC
Molecule: ribosomal RNA, 858 nt
Filed under: uncultured euryarchaeote
Lineage: Archaea; Methanobacteriati; Methanobacteriota
Description: bacterial SSU rRNA
Rfam family: Archaeal small subunit ribosomal RNA
Source: RNAcentral